UACGUAGGGAGCGAGCGUUGUCCGGAUUCAUUGGGCGUAAAGAGCUCGUAGGCGGCUUGAUUAGUCGGAUGUGAAACCUCCAGGCUCAACCUGGAGUCGCCAUCCGAUACUGUCAUGGCUAGAGUCCGGUAGGGGCCCACGGAAUUCCUGGUGUAGCGGUGAAAUGCGCAGAUAUCAGGAGGAACACCGGUGGCGAAGGCGGUGGGCUGGGCCGGCACUGACGCUGGAGGAGCGAAAGCGUGGGGAGCGAACAGG
This 255-nucleotide ribosomal RNA is filed under the name uncultured bacterium. Its description in RNAcentral is "partial 16S ribosomal RNA". It matches the Rfam family "Bacterial small subunit ribosomal RNA", at positions 524 to 776 of the family's 1533-position model. The record is from RNAcentral.